This 450-nucleotide ribosomal RNA is filed under the name uncultured bacterium. Its description in RNAcentral is "partial 16S ribosomal RNA". It matches the Rfam family "Bacterial small subunit ribosomal RNA", at positions 354 to 796 of the family's 1533-position model. The record is from RNAcentral.
GUGGGGAAUCUUCCGCAAUGGACGAAAGUCUGACGGAGCAACGCCGCGUGAGUGAAGAAGGUCUUCGGAUCGUAAAGCUCUGUUGUACGGGACGAAUGUUGAAGGCGUGAAUAAUGCCAUCAAAUGACGGUACUGUACGAGGAAGCCACGGCUAACUACGUGCCAGCAGCCGCGGUAAUACGUAGGUGGCGAGCGUUGUCCGGAAUUAUUGGGCGUAAAGGGAGCGCAGGUGGGAAGGUAAGUCUGUUUUAAAAGCGUCGGGCUCAACCCGAUGAGGGAACAGAAACUAUUUUUCUUGAGUGCAGGAGAGGAAAGCGGAAUUCCUAGUGUAGCGGUGAAAUGCGUAGAUAUUAGGAGGAACACCAGUGGCGAAGGCGGCUUUCUGGACUGUAACUGACACUGAGGCUCGAAAGCCAGGGGAGCGAACGGGAUUAGAUACCCUUGUAGUCC